Mauremys reevesii (Reeves's turtle) is the source of this 305-nucleotide long non-coding RNA. RefSeq lists it as uncharacterized. NCBI's taxonomy places the organism in Eukaryota, Metazoa, Chordata, Testudines, Geoemydidae. The record is from RefSeq and is a predicted model, not a curated record. The transcript has 3 exons.
UGUGAAGGCUGAUGAAAGUAGAAAUGUUUAUAAUGUACAAUAACCAAAUAUUUAAGAUCCAGUGGGGUGCACUGUACUAUGUAGGAAGGACACAGAAUUUACAUGAGACACACACUACUUCAUAAAGGAUGAAAAGGCUUUUAACUCCAACCAUUGUCAAACAUAGAGGACGAGCCUAGCAUAAUGGAGUACUGAUGCUGUUCGGAUACCACCACAAUACACUAAUAAAAAACAAGCUUAACGCACAGAAAGAUCCACGGAGGAAAGAGGCUCUAAACAGGGAUACAAUCAAAUGAAGUCUGGAG